Cinara cedri is the source of this 205-nucleotide non-coding RNA. The record is from the annotation of a GenBank genome assembly. Lineage: Eukaryota; Metazoa; Arthropoda; Insecta; Hemiptera; Aphididae.
UUGGAAUCCGAUAAAUAAUAGAUCAAAGAAUCGCGAACGGAGAAGAGACGGGCAUAUUUUUAUACUGUGCUGCAGUAAUGUGUAUUUGCGAGAUAAAUACUGCUCCUCAAAACGGAUGAUGGGCUUUAAAAAAAAAAAAAAAAAAAAAAAAAAAAAAAAAAAAAAAAAAAUAAAAAACAAAAUAACAAAUAAAUAAAUAAAUAAA